This 467-nucleotide ribosomal RNA is filed under the name Aegla sp. 4 BLZ-2019. Its description in RNAcentral is "partial 16S ribosomal RNA". It matches the Rfam family "Bacterial large subunit ribosomal RNA", at positions 1932 to 2601 of the family's 2925-position model. Lineage: Eukaryota; Metazoa; Arthropoda; Malacostraca; Decapoda; Aeglidae. The record is from RNAcentral.
CGCGGUAUUUUGACUGUGCGAAGGUAGCAUAAUCAUUUGUCUUUUAAUUGAAGACUUGUAUGAAUGGCUGAACGAGAAAAUAACUGUCUCUUUAAAAAAUCUUGAAUUUUACUUUUAAGUGAAAAGGCUUAAAUAAUUUUAAAGGACGAUAAGACCCUAUAAAUCUUUAUAUUAUUUUUCUUUAAAUUUCAAAUUAUAUAUUAAAAGAAAUAAAAGAAAAAAAUAUUAUAUUGGGGAGAUAAAAAUAUAAUUUUUAACUGUUUUAAAUAUAAAACAAUAAUUUUUGAUUUAUUAAAAAUUGAUCCUUUUUAAAGAUUUUAAGAUUAAGUUACUUUAGGGAUAACAGCGUAAUUUUUUUUGAGAGUUCUUAUCGAAAAAAAAGUUUGCGACCUCGAUGUUGAAUUAAAAUAUCCUUAUAAGUGCAGAAGCUAUAAAGGAAAGUCUGUUCGACUUUUAAAAUUUUACAU